CCUACGGGUGGCAGCAGUGAGGAAUAUUGGUCAAUGGACGAGAGUCUGAACCAGCCAAGUAGCGUGAAGGAUGACUGCCCUAUGGGUUGUAAACUUCUUUUAUAUGGGAAUAAAAUGUUCCACGUGUGGGAUUUUGUAUGUACCAUAUGAAUAAGGAUCGGCUAACUCCGUGCCAGCAGCCGCGGUAAUACGGAGGAUCCGAGCGUUAUCCGGAUUUAUUGGGUUUAAAGGGAGCGUAGGUGGAUUGUUAAGUCAGUUGUGAAAGUUUGCGGCUCAACCGUAAAAUUGCAGUUGAAACUGGCAGUCUUGAGUACAGUAGAGGUGGGCGGAAUGCGUGGUGUAGCGGUGAAAUGCUUAGAUAUCACGAAGAACUCCGAUUGCGAAGGCAGUUCACUGGACUGCAACUGACGCUGAGGCUCGAAAGUGUGGGUAUCAAACAGGAUUAGAUACCCCAGUAGUC
RNAcentral lists this ribosomal RNA (460 nucleotides) under uncultured bacterium. Its description in RNAcentral is "partial 16S ribosomal RNA". It matches the Rfam family "Bacterial small subunit ribosomal RNA", at positions 338 to 795 of the family's 1533-position model. The record is from RNAcentral.